GAUGAACGCUGGCGGCGUGCCUAAUACAUGCAAGUCGAGCGAACAGAUAAGGAGCUUGCUCCUUUGACGUUAGCGGCGGACGGGUGAGUAACACGUGGGUAACCUACCUAUAAGACUGGGAUAACUUCGGGAAACCGGAGCUAAUACCGGAUAACAUUUGGAACCGCAUGGUUCUAAAGUGAAAGAUGGUUUUGCUAUCACUUAUAGAUGGACCCGCGCCGUAUUAGCUAGUUGGUAAGGUAACGGCUUACCAAGGCGACGAUACGUAGCCGACCUGAGAGGGUGAUCGGCCACACUGGAACUGAGACACGGUCCAGACUCCUACGGGAGGCAGCAGUAGGGAAUCUUCCGCAAUGGGCGAAAGCCUGACGGAGCAACGCCGCGUGAGUGAUGAAGGGGUUCGGCUCGUAAAACUCUGUUAUUAGGGAAGAACAAAUGUGUAAGUAACUGUGCACGUCUUGACGGUACCUAAUCAGAAAGCCACGGCCAACUACGUG
Molecule: ribosomal RNA, 497 nt
Filed under: uncultured bacterium
Lineage: Bacteria
Description: partial 16S ribosomal RNA
Rfam family: Bacterial small subunit ribosomal RNA
Source: RNAcentral